This is a long non-coding RNA of Melozone crissalis (California towhee), 1469 nucleotides long. RefSeq lists it as uncharacterized. Lineage: Eukaryota; Metazoa; Chordata; Aves; Passeriformes; Passerellidae. The record is from RefSeq and is a predicted model, not a curated record. The transcript has 3 exons.
UUUUAUUGCUCUUGUGGCUCAUUGUUCCUCAACUAAACACUGUCCCGAUAGAAUAGAAUCCUUUACCUGCUAGAAUGCAUUAAUAUUCUGUGUUGGAAAGAGCCUACAAGGAUCAUUAGGUCCAGUUCUUAAGUGAAAGGUCCGUAUGAGCAUCAAACCCACAACCUUGGUAUUUGCUAACACCACUCUCAAUUGCAAGUUGUUUAUUUUCAUCCUUUAUGAAGUCUUUGUGGAAUGAUUUUCCAAUAUUUUGAGAAAUGAAGACAAAAGAGGUCUAACAGCUUCCAAGAGAAUCUAGGCUAUCUACCUACAGAGGAAAUCCAGAAGGAGUCCCAGCUUGUAUCAUGCAUUAUAGGUGCCCUUCUUUCAUGUUCCCAUGCUUCUUUUAUUUUAACUGAAUUGAUCCAAAUCUGUGAUACCUUCAUGUUUUGAGCCUGUGGACCAUUGCAGCCUCUUCCUCUUUCACAGAGACACUGUAAACUUCCUAGAGGCACUCUGCCCCUCAGCUGAAGUUAAAUCAUGUUGCUACCAAGCACUGUCUUCUGCAGCGCUUUGUGAAAAUCUUCUGCUCUCUUCCUCAGAAAUAACAGCUCUGUCCUGACAAGUGAUUAGCAAAAGGGCAAAAAUGCUCCACUAGAGGGAGCACCGUGAGUGCCAUAUGUUGAUUGUUCUUAAUGACAAUAGCUCGUUUCUUUUCCAGGCUUCUCUGGUCUACACAGAGACUCACCUGUACAGAUGUGCUACUCCUAGUAAAAGCUUUCUGCUUUUUAUAGGACACAUACUUCAUGCACUUGUGGUAGUCCUGUCCCUUCCUGGAAGCCCUGAAUAUUCUCUAUAAGGAUGAGUUGCUUAUGGCUGUUUCCUGAUGCUGAAAGCAUGUAUGAUGUCUGCUGUUGAAAAGGGUUGGAGGUUAGGGCUUCAAAAUAAACAGCACUUCUUCCCACUUUGAUUACUUCUUAAAACUCUAAUGUAUCCAUUUCAGAGAUUUACAUUCAUGACUGUCAUUAAAUGCCAGAAAUUUCCUGAUUAAUUGCCACAUUUAAGUAUUCUCUAGGUUUGCAUUACUCCUUGCCAUUUAAAGUUAUAUGUUUUCCUAUUUCUGAAACUUUGAUGUUUUGAUUGCUCGUAUUUUUUCUUGCAAAAGUAUCAAGAAUCCAAUAUGUUGUGUCAGUGGUGAGGUAUAGUAUCCAUGGCUUUAAUACAUUCCCAAAAGAUGAUUUUCAUGAGAUGGGAAACAAAGGGAAAAGAAAAAAGCAAAUUAAAAAUAUAUUCUCUGACAUUUUUCUUGUUUUGUCAAAAAAGAGCUUGUUUUAAGAACAAAAAAAAUACAACAGUGCUAUCAGUUACAGAAAUCUAUUUAUUUCCUCUAUGAAACUGUGGAAUGGUAACACAAUUUUCUGCUUAGAACUCUUUGGAUUAUUUAUGGAGAGUUAAUUAAAUCUCAGACACUUAGAUUCUUAGUAUUAUGC